AUGCACGUACGAACUGAUUGGUACGCUAGCUCUUCUAGCGUAUGGCUUAGGUGCCGCUCACUCCUCGAGUACCGGCGACGAUGGCCGGUAGAGGUCGUAGGGCGCCCAGAGGUAGUCGACCGUGCACGGCCGCCGGGCAUCGAGCCGGUGCCACGGCUUUCCCUUGCCGCUCCAGUGCAGCAGGCUGAUGGGUCCCGGGUGCAGGCCCCGGCACCGCCCUUUGACAUUGUCGCCGCCGAGCCCGUGCUGGUUCCACCGGUGGUCCACGGCCUGGAUGUCCCCGGCGAGCACCAGAAGGAACGGCGGCAGAGAGCCGAGGUGGUAGAUUCUCUUCUGCUUCUGCACGGCCAUCCACCCUUCCACCCGCCUCGUGUACCCGCCGGUGCGCCACUGGUCCACGUCCAUCACCAUCACGCCGGUGUUGAAGUAGCACGGGCGCCGCCCGUGGAACGUCCCGCUGAGCGCCGGGUCCAUCCAAAAUGUGUCCGUGAAGUAGUUGGUGAAGUUGGCGUGGCAGUACUCCGGUGCGCCCACUACGUGGCCCGCGAGGUCCACGGAGAAGAGCGUGCGGAUGUCAUCGACGACGAUCACGUCGGAGUCGAGGUAGAUCACCCGGCGCACGUCGGGGGGAAGCGUGUCGGCAAGGUAGAUGCGCGCAUAGUUGAGCGGCUGGUCCAGAGCGUGGCGGAUGGACCGGGAGAUACGUCCCCGGACGCGCGACGGAUCGAAUCGGUACACGCGGAGGUCCAGGUAAGGGAAGGUCGCGCGCAGCAUGGCGACGAGGUCACCGUCCGUCCGGGCGGCGAGGAAGUGAAACACCACGUUCUCCGGGCACGCUGUGUGCUGCAGGAUGGAGAGCACGCCGGCCAUGGUGCCGCGGAGGUAGUUAGCGUCCAGCGUCAUGGCGACGUUCACCUUGUCACCGCCGGCGCACUCGGCGCCGUUUCGGAAGGCGGGCGCCUCGCGGAACGUAGGGAUAGAAUCCAACGGCUGCCGGAUCAUCAUGGCAGGGUCGACGCGGAUGCCAGCGACGGCGGUCGCCGCGUCUCCGAGCAGGACAAGGAGCGCAAUGACGACGACACAGCCGGUUGGAAGCAUCGUGUGUGUCCGGCCAGCGGAGCGGGCGAGACAAUUGACGGGUGGCCGAGUGGUUGUCGCCGGCAAGGCAAACCAAUGGCGACAACGGCGGCGGCAGGAAAGAGGGCACGGAGAAGGUGGCCACCCUGGUCCCUGGUAAUGGUAGGGACGGGGUUAGGAAGGGAGGGGGGCCACCAUCAAAACGGUGGAGAAAGGAGAGUGUAA
This 1302-nucleotide ribosomal RNA is filed under the name Triticum aestivum (bread wheat). RNAcentral's name for it is "partial small subunit ribosomal RNA". Lineage: Eukaryota; Viridiplantae; Streptophyta; Magnoliopsida; Poales; Poaceae. The record is from RNAcentral.